GCUUAGCCGAGUUCAAUUAAACCGAAUAAAGUGCCUUCACGAUCAUCUCGUAGAUGUAGCAAUCAUAAUGUUUGAUUCAGAAUUACAUAUAGCAACAGACAUGUUGGCACUCUUUGUGGUUAGAGCCUGAAAAAGGGUCCUGGAUUUUUCAUUCAAUCAAGUCUUAGUGUGUUUGUCUCAAAAAUCAUGGGUAGCUAGAAAAAAGGAUAGCGGCACCAGCUGCUUUCCUCAUUAAAAGGCUAUAAAACUUGCCCCAUUGAUGAUUCUGCAUUUUAUAAUCAUCACCUGCAGUACUCCAUCGCUUUAUUAGAGGCAGGAAAAAAGAAGAAUGCUGAUAUCAAAAAGCUUCUCUUGAGAUUUUAAGAAAUUGGGUUGCUACUGUAAAGAGCAGACCUUUUGCUUUUGUAGGACUGCAUGUAGCAUCUCAUUUUAUUGCUGUCAAUUUUCUUUUCCACGAAAAAGAAACAUUACUGUUCAUUUGUAUGACUAAAAUACACUCUUGAAACCUUUUUCUGGCUAAAAUUCAUCUCUAGUUUGUUUCAGCGGUAAAAGAUCAAGAAUCUGGUAUCUUGAAACACAAUUUGCUCGCAUUCAUCAGCAAACAACAGGACCGUAUGAUCAUAGAUUCCUGAUCAAGCCCUGUCUUGGUUUAAGAGCUGCCCUCCUUUCUCUUGAGGCAUUCUGUCUCUUGCUGCUGAUCCUGUAUUGUGAUAGUUUAGAGCCUGGAUUUGGACACCGAAGCACUCAAUGUUCCAUUAGAAGGUGCAUUGGACUUCUGGUGCACCCUAAUCCCAUCACCAUACACGUAUUCAAAUCCCACAUUUUGAUCGAUCAUCGGCAUCCCAGAUUCCUAUGCUGUACUGUCGUGAAUGAACUGUGUCCUACGAUUCUCCCAUCAUUCAACAAUUGACAGACUUGAAGGGGAAUCUUGUCCAUCCAAAUUCUACUUGAAUUAUAGUUAUAAGGCUCAACAUGACCCAGUAGGUCCAUCCAAUGAUCCAUUAAUUUAGGAUUUGGCUUGGACCAAACUCGUAGAAAAACCCUCUCUUUUUUUAAUGUAGAAGGUUAAGUUGACUCUAAUAAAUUUAGGAUGAACUCUUUUACGUUGCCAUCCAGAUCUUGAAUCCAGUAGGUUUUUAACAAUGAUUCUAAUUAUUAGAACAGCACUAAAGUUUCUUUUUUUUUAAAAAAAAGGAAAAAAACUGUGUCAUAGUUUAUAUAGUUGGUUGUGGUGCCGAUUCUUAGAAUGCACCAAAACAAGCUUGGUUGAGGUUUAUUAUUAUCCUGUCCUGCUAUUCUCUUGUAAAUUAGCUUAACUCAAAAAUUUAUUUUUGAAUUAGGUUUUAUAUUUAAUCGGGUUGAAAAUUGAUCUAAUUAAACUGAAACAAGACCAAUUUGAAUUUAUGUUUUUCAAAAUCAUAAUUGUUUUAAUUAUUUUAGAUUGAUUUGAAUGUAGAUUAAUUCGCUAAAUCGAGGACACGAAACUUAAACUAAGUUAUAGGCGACCAGGCUAGAUUUUAUAACUAUUCUAGAAAAAGGGCAAUUCGCAUCACAUGACACUUUCUUUCUGUUAGCAUGGAUACGAUUUUAUAUCUAUUUUUAGCCUUCUUGGACCGAUUGACCAUAGCACCCCAUCUGGUUUUCGCAAAAUAGCUAAAAGGGGGGGAGGGUUGGCAAGGGCCACCUGCUCUGUCUUCUCUUCCACCAUGAAAAAGGGACCUCACGACGGAGUUCUUGAGGAGGAGCGAUACUUGACCAGUGGGUCAAAGCUGAAAGCCCCAUUCAUCUGUAAAUUGAUUGGAUUUGGCCCCGUUUAUCUGGGCACUAGAGAAGAGAAGCUGCUUAAGGUAUACAAACUCCUCAGUCCCUUGAAUCCACAAACGAAUGUUAGGCCAGGAAGCACCGUUGUGUAGGGUUUUGGUGGCUGUUUCGAGAAUUUUAACCUCGACCCCGAUGCCCGUUUUGUCAGGGGAGCCAGAACUCUUAGUUUUAAAAGAAAUCACACAGCAUCAAGAUAUUUUUUAAAAAAAAAAAUUAGCAUUGUUUAAAAUAAAAUUUACAGAUUAACACAGUUUAUAAUUUUUUUUUAAUGGUAGUUGUCGCUAGUUAGAAACAUUACAUUGCAAAAAAUAAAAAUCAUAUAACAAAUUACAAUAAAGAAAAAUAAGAGAAAAAAACAAAAAUAAACUAUAGAGGAAUACAAAAUUCUAGUGAUAACACCACUAAUAUCAUCUAAAAAAUUUAAUUGCUUUAAGUAAGGUCAUUAUCAAUGACGGAAAUGGAUCAUACUCUUUGUUUAAAGGCAAAUAAAGAAUUAUGAUAAGUAGAGAAAAGCAAAAAAAAAAAAUCUUUGAAAACACAUGAAAGUUUCAGUACAACACCUUUUAUAUUUUAGAAAAAUCUUUACAUGAAAAAUUUAAUAAUAUCAAGAAAUGUCACUAAUUACUAUCAAAGUGAAUUAUACACACUGCUCAAUAAAAAGUGAGCCACUCGGAGAUUAUAGACCACUCUGAGCAUCGUUAGAUAUUUUUUUUUUUGUUAUUGAAUUUAUGUUGUUGGAAUUUUUCUAAUAAUAAUAAUAUUAUCGUAGUUAAAGUUUUAGUGUGUUAUUAAAUUUGUCUUGUUAAGAUUUUUUUAAAUAAUCCUAGUAUUAUUUAGUUAAAAUUUCAUUGUAUCUCUAUAUUUUUUUUCUUUCUUUCUUCUCUUCAUUAUUAUUUGUGCCAUAUCUUUUGAAACUUUUUUUGAAAUGUCGCAUUUGCAAGUAACAACGACUUUAAAACUUGUGUUUUUCUGUGUAGAAGCUUUGUUAUUUCUUCAAAAAAAUAAUUUGAAUUAUGUUAUUUUAUUUUAUUUAUUUAUUGAAAUAGUGUUGAUAAAAAAUUAAAACUCAGCAUCAAUAAUAAACCAGAGAGAGAGAGAGAGGGAUGCGUUAAAAAAUAAUUACUUUGCUUAAGUCGUGAAUCCCAACAUGGAGAAAGGGUAAUAGUGGAAUCUUGGAAAAUAAUAAAGAGGAGGCAUGGAAAAGGAAGAGAGAGGACAGAGAUUUCUUGCGCAAAUCUAGCUCAUCUGGGCUUCUGGUACAAGCAAGUGAAGUGAAGUAAAUGGGAGUUUGAAGGCAAACGAGUGCAUACCGCAUCCUACAAUCAAGAAUCCCAUGUUCAAUGCCGUAUAAAAAACACACCACUCUCUUCACUUCUUGCCCGCAUUUUACUUGGCCUCAUUAUGUUUUAGGCAAGGCUCUCACUAUUGCAGCCAGUAAGUGGAUGUGCUCACAAGCCAAAGCCCCCAUGUCCUCAGCUUCUUUGCAUCAUCGUUUCCAUCCCCUCCAUCUUCUUAAGAUAGGACAAGGGAACCCAUCAAGGGCUUAUCUCAGAGGAAAUAAGAAAUUAGCAGAGAAAACGUACAGACAUCCAAUCCCAAGUCUAUUGGUGGAGUUUUAAGUAUCAAACCUUCGCUCAUUGGUUUUGCGCUUCAUGUAAUGAUAGGGUUCUCCUGCCGCUGCUGCUGGAACAUGGUGAGAGAUGUGGGUGCUGUUACUUGGGGCAUUGAGGCAUGUGUGGCCUUUGUCAUGAGAAUAUUUGUCAAGCAAAUCGGAGUUUUAGGCUUGAGUGGCGGCAGGUCUGGAUACACAAGAAACCACAUUUCUUUUAUCCAAUCAUUGCAAAAAGCUCACUUCUUCUUCUUCCUCUUCUUCUGCUUCCUUGGCUUCUGGUAAAUGCUGGUGGGGCAUGGUGGUGAUAUUGGCUAGACGGCUCAAUCUCUUUAUUAUGAUAUAGGACUACUUACUAAUCUUUUGCUUUCACUUUUGUUACUAGCUUUCCUAUUUUUUUCCCUUUCCUUUCCUUGUUUUUUUUUUUUGGGCUGAUAGUUUUGUUGAUAUGUAAUUGGCAUCCAAAUGUUCAUGUGGAAGUGCAACAAAAGGUUGGCAUGGCAUCUUUGAUUCUUGUUUCUUUCAAGUAAUACUAAUUAACUUGCUGUUUGGUGCUCUAGUUUUGUGCCUUGACUCCUGUUCAAGCAUAGAACCAAUUUACCCCAUAGAGAAAGUCAGGAAGAGGUAGAGGAUUUAAUUGCAGCGAAUGGGGGCACCUACCUUCUAUGUAGUUCGGUGAGUAAAAGCUUUAAAAUAUUGGGGUCCCCUAAAGCGUACAGACUUCAAUGUUUCAGCUCUGUUUCACUGUCAGUCUUUGCUUCUGUCCCUUUUGUUAAUUAAUUUUUCUUGGGAAAUGUAGGGGCUUGAUAGUUGAUAGUAUGUGCUCAAAUCCUCAAGGAAUUAUUAUGUCACCUUCAUCCAUAUCAAUUAUGUAUUGAGAUUUUUUCAUGAAA
Populus nigra (black poplar) is the source of this 4323-nucleotide RNA transcript. RefSeq lists it as uncharacterized. The record is from RefSeq and is a predicted model, not a curated record. The transcript has 4 exons. Lineage: Eukaryota; Viridiplantae; Streptophyta; Magnoliopsida; Malpighiales; Salicaceae.